This 76-nucleotide transfer RNA is filed under the name Blastopirellula marina. Its description in RNAcentral is "tRNA-Trp". It matches the Rfam family "tRNA". From Rfam's summary of the family: Transfer RNA (tRNA) molecules are approximately 80 nucleotides in length. Their secondary structure includes four short double-helical elements and three loops (D, anti-codon, and T loops). The record is from RNAcentral. Lineage: Bacteria; Pseudomonadati; Planctomycetota; Planctomycetia; Pirellulales; Pirellulaceae.
AGGGGCGUAGCUCAAUUGGCAGAGCGCUGGUCUCCAAAACCAGAGGUUGAGAGUUCGAUUCCCUCCGCCCCUGCUA